This is a long non-coding RNA of Gigantopelta aegis, 292 nucleotides long. RefSeq lists it as uncharacterized. The record is from RefSeq and is a predicted model, not a curated record. Lineage: Eukaryota; Metazoa; Mollusca; Gastropoda; Neomphalida; Peltospiridae. The transcript is spliced from 3 exons.
AGGUAGAGAUGUCGCGAGAGACCUCGACACAGAUGCGGACGGAUAUCUGGACGGGACUGAGUUAGAGAAAUACAUCGGCCAGCGAGACGUUCUCGACUUCGUGAGGGCUUUAGAUCAGAAUGGUGACAGACGCCUCUCCAUUAAAGAGUUUAACGACAAACAGUAAUAAAUAAAUCAGAAUGUGCAAUUAUUAGGCUGAAUAAAAAAGACAUUCCAAAACAUCUGAAGUUCACUGUUUCAAAUAAAACAGAUUUCAACAAUAUACUUUUGCAUCGAUUGUUCUGUUGUGUGA